RNAcentral lists this ribosomal RNA (261 nucleotides) under uncultured archaeon. RNAcentral's name for it is "partial 16S ribosomal RNA". It matches the Rfam family "Archaeal small subunit ribosomal RNA", at positions 748 to 1009 of the family's 1478-position model. The record is from RNAcentral.
CAGCCGUAAACUAUGCUCGCUAGGUGUCAGGCAUGGCGCGACCGUGUCUGGUGCCGCAGGGAAGCCGUGAAGCGGGCCACCUGGGAAGUACGGCCGCAAGGCUGAAACUUAAAGGAAUUGGCGGGGGAGCACAACAACGGGUGGAGCCUGCGGUUUAAUUGGACUCAACGCCGGGAAGCUCACCGGAUAAGACAGCGGAAUGAUUGCCGGGCUGAAGACUCUGCAUGACUAGCUGAGAGGAGGUGCAUGGCGUAGACGUCU